Molecule: ribosomal RNA, 776 nt
Filed under: uncultured bacterium
Lineage: Bacteria
Description: bacterial SSU rRNA
Rfam family: Bacterial small subunit ribosomal RNA
Source: RNAcentral
AGAGUUUGAUCAUGGCUCAGGAUGAACGCUGGCGGCGUGCUUAACACAUGCAAGUCGAACGGUGAAGCCCCGCUUGCGGGGUGGAUCAGUGGCGAACGGGUGAGUAACACGUGAGCAACCUGCCCCUGACUCUGGGAUAAGCGCUGGAAACGGCGCCUAAUACUGGAUACGAGACGUGAUCGCAUGGUCAACGUUUGGAAAGAUUUUUCGGUUGGGGAUGGGCUCGCGGCCUAUCAGCUUGUUGGUGAGGUAAUGGCUCACCAAGGCGUCGACGGGUAGCCGGCCUGAGAGGGUGACCGGCCACACUGGGACUGAGACACGGCCCAGACUCCUACGGGAGGCAGCAGUGGGGAAUAUUGCACAAUGGGCGCAAGCCUGAUGCAGCAACGCCGCGUGAGGGAUGACGGCCUUCGGGUUGUAAACCUCUUUUAGCAGGGAAGAAGCGAGAGUGACGGUACCUGCAGAAAAAGCACCGGCUAACUACGUGCCAGCAGCCGCGGUAAUACGUAGGGUGCAAGCGUUAUCCGGAAUUAUUGGGCGUAAAGAGCUCGUAGGCGGUUUGUCGCGUCUGCUGUGAAAUCUGGGGGCUCAACCCCCAGCCUGCAGUGGGUACGGGCAGACUAGAGUGCGGUAGGGGAGAUUGGAAUUCCUGGUGUAGCGGUGGAAUGCGCAGAUAUCAGGAGGAACACCGAUGGCGAAGGCAGAUCUCUGGGCCGUAACUGACGCUGAGGAGCGAAAGGGUGGGGAGCAAACAGGCUUAGAUACCCUGGUAGUCC